UCAAGUAAGUAAGGGCGUACGGCGGAUGCCUUGGCCAUAUCAGCCGAAGAAGGACGCGAUAAGCUGCGAUAAGCUGCGGUGAGGUGCAAGUAACCUUUGACCCGCAGAUCUCCGAAUGGGGAAACCCGGCAGCAGUAGUGCUGUCAUCCUCUAUGAGGAAGGGCACCCGGUGAACUGAAACAUCUAAGUAGCCGGAGGAAAAGGAAUCAACAGAGAUACCCCUAGUAGCGGCGAGCGAACGGGGCAGAGCCCAAACCGGGAUGGGAAACCAAUCCGGGGUUGUGGACUGCUAUCAAAUGCAUGAGUGAAGCAGAAUGAGCUGGGAAGCUCAGCCAGAGAGAGUGAGAGCCUCGUAGGCGUAAGCAAGUGCAUGGAGCAGGAUCCGGAGUACCACGAGACACGAGAAACCUUGUGGGAAGCUGGGGGGACCACCCUCCAAGGCGAAACACUGAUAUGGACCGAUAGCGCAUAGUACCGUGAGGGAAAGGUGAAAAGAACCCCGGGAGGGGAGUGAAAUAGAACCUGAAACCCUGCACUUACAAGCUGUGGGAGCACAUUACUUGUGUGACCGCGUACUUUUUGUAGAACGGGCCAACGAGUUACGUUAAGUAGCAAGGUUAAGCACUUAAGGUGUGGAGCCGUAGCGAAAGCGAGUCUUAAAUGGGCGAUUAAGUUACUUGGCGUAGACCCGAAACCGGGCGACCUAUCCAUGAGCAGGUUGAAGCGAAAGUAAAAUUUCGUGGAGGACCGAACCCACGAGCGUUGAAAAGCUCGGGGAUGACUUGUGGAUAGCGGUGAAAUUCCAAUCGAGCCCGGAGAUAGCUGGUUCUCCCCGAAAUAGCUUUAGGGCUAGCCUCAAGCGUAGAGAAACGGAGGUAGAGCACUGAAUGUCCUAGGGGGUAUUGCACUUACCGAAGACUAUCAAACUCCGAAUGCCGUUUUCUUUUACUUGGGAGUCAGACUGUGGGUGAUAAGAUUCAUAGUCAAAAGGGCAACAGCCCAGAUCGUCAGCUAAGGUCCCUAAAUGUACGUUAAGUGGUAAAGGAUGUGGGAUUGCACAGACAACCAGGAUGUUGGCUUAGAAGCAGCCACUCAUUUAAAGAGUGCGUAAUAGCUCACUGGUCGAGUGAUCCUGCGCCGAAAAUUUCCGGGGCUAAAACGUACUACCGAAGCUACGGCAUCAUUUAUGAUGGGUAGGGGAGCUUCGUAUGCAGGCUGAAGCAUGACCGUAAGGACAUGUGGACAGUAUACGAGUGAGAAUGUUGGCAUGAGUAGCGAGACGUGGGUGAGAAUCCCACGGGCCGUAAACCCAAGGUUUCCAGGGGAAGGUUCGUCCGCCCUGGGUUAGUCGGGACCUAAGCCGAGGCCGAAAGGCGUAGGUGAUGGACAACAGGUUGAUAUUCCUGUACCGCCAAUAAGCGUUUGAGAGAUGGAGUGACACAGUAGGAUAAGCUAACCGUACUGUUGGUUAUGUACGGCUAAGCAUUGAGGCAGUCUAAAUAGGCAAAUCCGUUUAGACAAUGCUAGGAUGUGAUGGGGAAGCCCUUCGGGGCGAAGUAGCUGAUUUCACACUGUCAAGAAAAGCUUCUAUCGAGUUUAAAGGCGCCCGUACCGUAAACCGACACAGGUGGGUGAGGAGAGUAUCCUAAGGCCAGCGAGAGAACUAUUGUUAAGGAACUCGGCAAAAUGACCCCGUAACUUAGGGAGAAGGGGUGCCUGUCUAUGACAGGCCGCAGAGAAUAGGCCCAAGCGACUGUUUACCAAAAACACAGGUUUCUGCUAAGUCGCAAGACGAUGUAUAGGAGCUGACGCCUGCCCGGUGCUGGAAGGUUAAGGGGAUCUGUUAGAGCAAUCGAAGCAGUGAACUUAAGCCCCAGUAAACGGCGGCCGUAACUAUAACGGUCCUAAGGUAGCGAAAUUCCUUGUCGGGUAAGUUCCGACCCGCACGAAAGGCGUAACGAUUUGGGCACUGUCUCAACAAUAGACUCGGUGAAAUUGUAAUCCCGGUGAAGAUGCCGGGUACCUGCGACAGGACGGAAAGACCCCAUGGAGCUUUACUGUAGCUUGACGUUGGGUCUUGGUACUACAUGUACAGGAUAGGUGGGAGACUAUGAAGCAUGGACGCCAGUCUGUGUGGAGUCAUCCUUGGGAUACCACCCUUGUAGUACUGGGAUCCUAACCAUAGGCCUUGAAUCAGGUCUUGGAACACCGUCAGGUGGGCAGUUUGACUGGGGCGGUCGCCUCCUAAAAAGUAACGGAGGCGCUCAAAGGUUUCCUCAGCACGGUCGGAAAUCGUGCGAAGAGUGUAAAGGCAAAAGGAAGCUUGAUUGCAAGACAUACAGGUCGAGCAAGGACGAAAGUCGGACUUAGUGAUCCGGUGGUACCGCAUGGAAGGGCCAUCGCUCAACGGAUAAAAGCUACCCUGGGGAUAACAGGCUUAUCUCCCCCAAGAGUCCACAUCGACGGGGAGGUUUGGCACCUCGAUGUCGGCUCAUCACAUCCUGGGGCUGUAGUAGGUCCCAAGGGUUGGGCUGUUCGCCCAUUAAAGUGGUACGCGAGCUGGGUUCAGAACGUCGUGAGACAGUUCGGUCCCUAUCCAUCGCGGGCGUAAGAAACUUGAAAGGGGCUGCUCCUAGUACGAGAGGACCGGAGUGGACCGACCAAUGGUGUACCAGUCAUGGCGCCAGCCGUGCAGCUGGGUAGCUACGUCGGGGACGGAUAAACGCUGAAAGCAUCUAAGCGUGAAACCAGCCUAGAGAUGAGGUUUCUCAUUGUUUUAACAAGUAAGGUCCCACAAAGACGAUGUGGUUGAUAGGCCGGGAGUGGAAGUACAGCGAUGUACGGAGCGGACCGGUACUAAUAGACCGAGGACUUGACUU
Molecule: ribosomal RNA, 2879 nt
Filed under: human gut metagenome
Description: bacterial LSU rRNA
Rfam family: Bacterial large subunit ribosomal RNA
Source: RNAcentral